Molecule: long non-coding RNA, 287 nt
Filed under: Nicotiana benthamiana
Lineage: Eukaryota; Viridiplantae; Streptophyta; Magnoliopsida; Solanales; Solanaceae
Description: long non-coding RNA (NBEN_LNC012841)
Source: RNAcentral
CAGCACUCAACAUCUCCAACUUUCCACCCUUAUCCCCCAUCACUGUGAGUAACAGAUUUGCAGCAGUUUCUGUUAGUAAAGAAGGUCCUCCUAUGGAGGGAGAGGAACCACCAUCAACAUCUUACCAAUGAAGUGGUUAAUAUGGAAUAUGAGGGGUGUAAAUAAAAUGUAUAAGCAGAAAGAGGUUAGAGAAUAUAUUAGGAAAAACAAUAUUAACCUAGUAGGAUUAGUAGAAACCAAGGUCAAACAAGCUCAUGCUAGCAGAAUUACUAAUCUGCUUGCUCCAA